This 441-nucleotide ribosomal RNA is filed under the name uncultured bacterium. Its description in RNAcentral is "partial 16S ribosomal RNA". It matches the Rfam family "Bacterial small subunit ribosomal RNA", at positions 338 to 795 of the family's 1533-position model. The record is from RNAcentral.
CCUACGGGAGACAGCAGUGGGGGAUAUUGCACAAUGGGGGGAACCCUGAUGCAGCGACGCCGCGUGAGUGAAGAAGUAUCUCGGUAUGUAAAGCUCUAUCAGCAGGGAAGAAGCAAGACGGUACCUGACUAAGAAGCCCCGGCUAACUACGUGCCAGCAGCCGCGGUAAUACGUAGGGGGCGAGCGUUAUCCGGAUUUACUGGGUGUAAAGGGAGCGUAGACGGCAUGGCAAGUCUGGAGUGAAAGCCCCGGGCCCAACCCCGGGACUGCUCUGGAAACUGCGAUGCUAGAGUGCUGGAGAGGUAGGUGGAAUUCCCAGUGUAGCGGUGAAAUGCGUAGAGAUUAGGAGGAACACCAGUGGCGAAGGCGGCCUACUGGACAGUGACUGACGUUGAGGCACGAAAGCGUGGGGAGCAAACAGGAUUAGAUACCCUGGUAGUC